CCGAGUGAGGGCCCCCGGGCCCGACCUCCCACCCUUAUGUUGAACACCCUUGUUGCCUCGGGGGCGACCCGGUCCUCGGACCCGGCCCGCCCCCGGUGGACCAUUGAACAACUCUUGCAUUUGUGCGUCGGAGUAUUGAAGCAAAUUGAAACGA
This 154-nucleotide unclassified non-coding RNA is filed under the name uncultured Ascomycota. Its description in RNAcentral is "sequence contains ITS1". The record is from RNAcentral. Lineage: Eukaryota; Fungi; Ascomycota.